RNAcentral lists this ribosomal RNA (254 nucleotides) under uncultured bacterium. Its description in RNAcentral is "partial 16S ribosomal RNA". It matches the Rfam family "Bacterial small subunit ribosomal RNA", at positions 524 to 776 of the family's 1533-position model. The record is from RNAcentral.
GACGAACCGUACAAACGUUAUUCGGAAUUACUGGGCUUAAAGGGUUUGUAGGCGGCCUUGUAAGUCAGGUGUGAAAUCCCUCGGCUCAACCGAGGAAUGGCGCUUGAGACUGGGCUGGCUUGAGUGCGGGAGAGGAUGGUGGAAUUCUCGGUGUAGCGGUGAAAUGCGUAGAUAUCGAGAGGAACACCUGCGGCGAAGGCGGGUUGCUGGGCUGACACUGACGCUGAUGCGCGAAAGCCAGGGGAGCGAACGGG